Molecule: ribosomal RNA, 775 nt
Filed under: uncultured Neocallimastigales
Lineage: Eukaryota; Fungi; Neocallimastigomycota; Neocallimastigomycetes; Neocallimastigales
Description: partial large subunit ribosomal RNA
Rfam family: Eukaryotic large subunit ribosomal RNA
Source: RNAcentral
UUAUGUGAUCGUCUCUCGCAUAUCAAUAAGCGGAGGAAAAGAAACUAACAAGGAUUCCCCUAGUAACGGCGAGUGAAGCGGGAAGAGCUCAAAUUUGAAAUCUUAAAGGGUUUCCCUUUACGAAUUGUAGUUUAAAGAAGUGUUUUCUGUUGAGGUUUUGGUAAAAGUUCUUUGGAAUAGGACAUCAUAGAGGGUGAGAAUCCCGUAUUUGACCUUUACUUUCAACUUUGUGAUACACUUUCAAAGAGUCGGAUUGUUUGGGAAUGCAGUCCAAAAUGGGUGGUAAAUUUCAUCUAAAGCUAAAUAUUGGCGAGAGACCGAUAGCGAACAAGUACCGUGAGGGAAAGAUGAAAAGAACUUUGAAAAGAGAGUUAAACAGUACGUGAAAUUGUCAAAAGGGAAGCGUUUGACACCAGUGUUGUUUUUCUGAAAAUCAAUUAAAGAACUGUUUAUGCUAAGUUGUUUAGACUUUAUCAGCUAACUGUUUAGUUUUGAGCUUUUCUUUAAUGCACUUUUCAGUUAACAAGUCAACAUCAAUUUCUUUUGCUGUAAAAAAGCUUGAGGAAGGUGGCUUGAGAUUCGUCUUAAGUGUUUAUAGCCUCUUGCCUAUGCAGUCGGAGAGAUUGAGGUCUGCAGCGUAGAUCCUUCGGGGCUAAAUGCAUUUGUGCUAAGUUAUAGCAUUUUAUAGACAACUUGUUGACUAUGAUUUGUCUUGUAGCUUACUCGCUUAUGUUAUUUUACCUACGCUUAGGAUGUUGACACACGCGCGUGCUCG